AUAAAGAAGAAUGAAAUCAUGACUGUUCCAGCAACAUGGAUGGAACUGAAGACCACUAUCUUAGGUGAAAUAACUCAGAAACAAAGUCAAAUACUGCAUGCUCUCCCUCAUAUGUGGGAGCUAAAUAACGUGUACAGACAGACAGAGAGGGGAAUAACAGACACUGGAGACUGGAAGGGUGGGAGGGUGGCAGGGAGGGAUGAGAAAUUACUUCAUGGGCAGAAUGUACACUACUCAGUAAUGGUAACACUAAAGCCCAGACUCUUCCACCAUACGAUAUGUCCAUGUAACAAAACUGCAUGUGUACCCCAUAAUUUUAUAUUGUUAAGCUGAAAAGGUGUGUGUAUGUGAACACAGUAAACAUGUAAGUAUAAACAC
This 378-nucleotide long non-coding RNA is filed under the name Pan troglodytes (chimpanzee). Its description in RNAcentral is "lincRNA". Lineage: Eukaryota; Metazoa; Chordata; Mammalia; Primates; Hominidae. The record is from RNAcentral.